Long non-coding RNA from Patella vulgata (common limpet), 2212 nucleotides. RefSeq lists it as uncharacterized. The transcript is spliced from 9 exons. The record is from RefSeq and is a predicted model, not a curated record. Lineage: Eukaryota; Metazoa; Mollusca; Gastropoda; Patellidae.
AUAACCGCGCGUUUAUUGAUAGUGGGAACCGCUCAUCUUCUUCUUCUACUUCUACGUGACCAGUGACUAUUCUUCAUACAUUUUCAACAAAAACAGCAAUAAAGCUCCGCUCUAGAGCCUACAAUUUCAGUACUGGAAAUGUCAGACUUGAGUAAGACUGUGGAAUCACUUAGGAAAGCUGCCUCAGAGCUAGAGUCGAAGCUGGCCAAUGAGAAUAGGACUGAAAUAAUUCCACCGUUAGUUCCAUCGUCAUCGAUAGUUACCACAACAGCUCCAACAGUUGCGAGUUUAAAUUCGGUAUCCGAGGUCAGACGAAUAUUUGCUCCAUAUGCCAGUACGGGUAACUUCAGUUCCAGAAAAUCAAAGAUAAACACCAAGUGGGCCCCCAAAUGGUCACACAAGUUUAUGUGCCUGUCAGAGCCAAGCCAGGAUUCUGUACCAACUAAAAAACAGAAGGCUAAUCUCCUCAAAGGUGGCCUUGGAGAGAAAAGAUUAAAUUUGGACAAGUCAGACGAUCCACAUCAUCUUGUAAAUUCGGUUUUAACUGCUUAUCCAAAAUUAGGAAAUGGUGGAGGAUUUGAGCUAUUGAGGACGGCGAAUAGAUAUUGUCUUGAAGUCAUUCCUCCACCAAAAUGCGGGUAUACAGCCAUAUAUUUGGCAGAUCAGUGUUCUAUUGGUCAAAGUGUGGUGUAUAUCCGUCCAAUUCAGAAGCAGUUGGAUCUAUCACCUGAAGAUAAUGAACCUUCUGAAAAAUGUCCAUUGGAGGUAUGCUUGAUAUGUGGUGAAUCAUAUCCAGUGAUUAAGCUGAAAGACCAUAUUGCUAGAGAUCAUGGAGAAGACGAUCUACCAAUAAUUAAAAAAAGGAAAAGAAGUAAAUUAUGCCAAUACAUUAAUUCGCCCAGUGAAGAAGUAAGUGAUUAUUGCAUUAUUUUUAAAAAAAGUCUCUAAUGACAAUGUGUAAUGGAACUUAAUACUGCUUUUUCUGUAUUCUGACUCUCUUAUAUAGGUCAAGAAUAGCUGAUCUGUAUUUUCUUUAGUAAAAGCUGGAAGGAGCAGUAGCGUGGAAGAUUUAACUUUAUUUAUUAUGUUGUCAUUCCACAAUUAAUCAAUAAUUAUAAUGACUUCAUUCCAAGAGUGAACAAACCGUUAAUAUAAGGAUAUCAUAAUAUUAAUUGUCACAAAAAAGUUAGUGUCUUUACAAAUAAAACAUAAGAUCUGGAGAGCUAUUUUCAUACCUUAGAUCCUGGGUUCCCUAACUGGGGACCAUUGCUUUGAGGCAACAAGAACUAUGAAUUAUUAAUGAUAUAUAUAUAUAUAUAUAUGUAUCUACCAGCAAAUGAUGAAACAGAUUUGGAUUCGUUGCCAGACCUAGAUAUAAGUCCUGAAUCUCCACACAACAUAUUGCAGGAGUCAAAUUAUGUAAAUGCAGGAACACCAACAGAAAAGUGAAAAUUUUGAACAAGAAAUGGAUAAAAUCAAAGAGAACACAAGUAAAGAUAAACAUUGGCAAGUUUCUGUUGUUCGUGGACAAUUCAUAGAAACAGCAAUGGAUCAAUUAACUGAAGGCAGUGAAUCAGAUUAGUUAAAACCACUUAAGGUUAAUUUCAUUGGUGAAGAUGGGGUUGAUCAUGGAGGCUUAACUAGAGAAUUUUUCACCUUAUUAUUUUCCAAAUCCCCUGUUUUUGAAGGCGACAGUUUGUCUCUCCGACCAGAUUUGAUUGAAGAAGAACAUUAUAAGAUUGUUGGUCUAAGCAUUUUGAAUGGUCACACUGGCCCUAAAUCACUGAAUAGAAUCGCUACAGAGUUUAUUCUUAGUGGAAAAAUACCUCAGUUUAGAGAAUUGGAUGCAGGCGAAAUUGAUAGAGCAGAUGCCUCUGCUAUCAUUUCAGAUAUAGAAAAUUCUACUGUUGAGAAUAUACAUGAUGUAUACCAAACCCAUAUCGAUGCACUUAAUCAGACAGGAUUUUCCAAGAUUAUGACUAUCGACAACAAGCAGGAAGCUAUUAGUGCUGUGAAAGGCUACUACAUGCUUUUCAGAGUAAUGGCUCCCUUACUUCAGUUUAUGUAAGGACUUCAACAUCUCAAUAUCCUAACUGUGUUGAAAAAAUAUCCUGAUGAAGGUAGACGGGUAUUGAGCAGGACAAUGUUCGAAAGUUGCGAGGAUAUAGAAAGAUUAUUUUUACCGUUUUUCUCUGAGGAAACUGCCAAGGAG